ACGGAAGGCAGCAGUGGGGAAUAUUGGGCAAUGGGCGCAAGCCUGACCCAGCAACGCCGCGUGAAGGAAGAAGGCUUUCGGGUUGUAAACUUCUUUUAUCAGGGACGAAGAAAGUGACGGUACCUGAUGAAUAAGCCACGGCUAACUACGUGCCAGCAGCCGCGGUAAUACGUAGGUGGCAAGCGUUGUCCGGAUUUACUGGGUGUAAAGGGCGCGUAGGCGGGAUAGCAAGUCAGAUGUGAAAUCCAUGGGCUCAACCCAUGAACUGCAUUUGAAACUGUUAUUCUUGAGUGUCGGAGAGGUAGAUGGAAUUCCUAGUGUAGCGGUGAAAUGCGUAGAUAUUAGGAGGAACACCAGUGGCGAAGGCGAUCUACUGGGCUUUUACUGACGCUGAGGCACGAAAGCAUGGGUAGCAAACAGGAUUAGAUACCCUGGUA
This 437-nucleotide ribosomal RNA is filed under the name uncultured Oscillospiraceae bacterium. RNAcentral describes it as "bacterial SSU rRNA". It matches the Rfam family "Bacterial small subunit ribosomal RNA", at positions 341 to 792 of the family's 1533-position model. The record is from RNAcentral. Lineage: Bacteria; Bacillati; Bacillota; Clostridia; Eubacteriales; Oscillospiraceae.